RNAcentral lists this ribosomal RNA (253 nucleotides) under uncultured bacterium. RNAcentral describes it as "partial 16S ribosomal RNA". It matches the Rfam family "Bacterial small subunit ribosomal RNA", at positions 524 to 776 of the family's 1533-position model. The record is from RNAcentral.
UACGUAGGGGGAAAGCGUUAUCCGGAAUCACUGGGCGUAAAGGGUGCGUAGGCGGCUAUUUAAGUCAGAUGUGAAAACCAAGGGCUCAACCCAUGGAUUGCAUUUGAAACUGGAAAGCUUGAGGACAGGAGAGGAUAGUGGAAUUCCUAGUGUAGCGGUGAAAUGCGUAGAUAUUAGGAGGAACACCAGUGGCGAAGGCGACUCUCUGGACUGUAACUGACGCUGAGGCACGAAAGCGUGGGGAGCGAACAGG